UGCGUAGGGGGCAAGCGUUGUCCGGAUUCAUUGGGCGUAAAGAGCGUGUAGGCGGCCAGACAGGUCCGCUGUGAAAACUCGAGGCUCAACCUCGAGAUGUCGGUGGAAACCGUCUGGCUAGAGUCCGGAAGAGGAGAGUGGAAUUCCCGGUGUAGCGGUGAAAUGCGCAGAUAUCGGGAAGAACACCCGUGGCGAAGGCGGCUCUCUGGGACGGUACUGA
RNAcentral lists this ribosomal RNA (220 nucleotides) under uncultured prokaryote. RNAcentral's name for it is "partial 16S ribosomal RNA". It matches the Rfam family "Bacterial small subunit ribosomal RNA", at positions 524 to 743 of the family's 1533-position model. The record is from RNAcentral.